This 253-nucleotide ribosomal RNA is filed under the name uncultured bacterium. RNAcentral's name for it is "partial 16S ribosomal RNA". It matches the Rfam family "Bacterial small subunit ribosomal RNA", at positions 524 to 776 of the family's 1533-position model. The record is from RNAcentral.
UACGAAGGGGGCUAGCGUUGCUCGGAAUCACUGGGCGUAAAGGGUGCGUAGGCGGGUCUUUAAGUCAGGGGUGAAAUCCUGGAGCUCAACUCCAGAACUGCCUUUGAUACUGAAGAUCUUGAGUUCGGGAGAGGUGAGUGGAACUGCGAGUGUAGAGGUGAAAUUCGUAGAUAUUGGGAAGAACACCGGUGGCGAAGGCGGCUCUCUGGACCGAUACUGACGCUGAAGCGCGAAAGCGUGGGGAGCAAACAGG